Molecule: ribosomal RNA, 354 nt
Filed under: Meloidogyne enterolobii
Lineage: Eukaryota; Metazoa; Nematoda; Chromadorea; Rhabditida; Meloidogynidae
Description: partial 16S ribosomal RNA
Source: RNAcentral
AUUAUUUUAAGAUUAUUUUUUAUUGUUGAAAAAAUUAAAAAUAAAUUGUUUUUAACAAAAAUUAAAAUUUAUAAUAUUUCAUUUUUUGGUUUUUUGUUUUAAAUUAAAAUAAUAAAUAUGGGGGAAAAAAAAAUUUUGUUAUAAAUUAUAUUAGUUUAUUUUAAUUAAAAAUAUUUUUUAUUAAAUUUGUUUUUUUUAUUUUUUUAUAAAAAAUAUUAAUUUAAUUAUUAUUAUUGAGUUUAAUUUAGUUAUUUUUAAAAAAAUUUUGUAUAAAAUAAAUUUGAUAAUAAAUGUUUUUUAAAUUCUUUGGGGGUUUAGUUUAUGAUUUUUUGUUUCUGCUCAUUGUUAAAUAAA